This 505-nucleotide ribosomal RNA is filed under the name uncultured bacterium. RNAcentral describes it as "partial 16S ribosomal RNA". It matches the Rfam family "Bacterial small subunit ribosomal RNA", at positions 28 to 507 of the family's 1533-position model. The record is from RNAcentral.
GACGAACGCUGGCGGCGUGCCUAAUACAUGCAAGUAGAACGCACAGUUUAUACCGUAGCUUGCUACACCAUAAACUGUGAGUUGCGAACGGGUGAGUAACGCGUAGGUAACCUGCCUGGUAGCGGGGGAUAACUAUUGGAAACGAUAGCUAAUACCGCAUAAUAUUGAUUAUUGCAUGAUAAUUGAUUGAAAGAUGCUAUUGCAUCACUACCAGAUGGACCUGCGUUGUAUUAGCUAGUAGGUGAGGUAACGGCUCACCUAGGCGACGAUACAUAGCCGACCUGAGAGGGUGAUCGGCCACACUGGGACCGAGACACGGCCCAGACUCCUACGGGAGGCAGCAGUAGGGAAUCUUCGGCAAUGGACGAAAGUCUGACCGAGCAACGCCGCGUGAGUGAAGAAGGGUUUCGGAUCGUAAAGCUCUGUUGUAAGGGAAGAACGGGUGUGAGAGUGGAAAGUUCACACUGUGACGGUAUCUUACCAGAAAGGGACGGCUAACUACGUG